AUUCAGUUAAGUCCUAUGGUGAGUUUGAAGGAGAAUCUGGACAACAAAUUGUCUCAACUGGGAAUAACAACGAGUUGAUCCAAGCAAAGGUUACGGAGAUGGUCAUUAAUUCGAAACUGUGGAAAGACCAACGAGAGUAUGAUCAUGAAGAGGACUGGAGAUGGAUUUGCUGGUUAUUCUUCUGAAGAAUGUGUCCAAGAUGAUGAUCAGGAUAGUGCAGGAGAGGACCUUGAUGCUUCAAUUAAGCCACACGAGCAAUUUGAAUGUGAAGAAUGUGUCCAAGAUGAUGAUCAGGAGAGGACCUUGAUGCUUCAGUUAAGCCAUCUCGUGGUACUCACACGAGCAAUUAGAAUUGUCAUGCACCUGCUUUCAUUCCUAGGAAUUCACCAGCUUUUGCUAAGUCAAAUGCAACAACUGGA
Molecule: long non-coding RNA, 419 nt
Filed under: Nicotiana benthamiana
Lineage: Eukaryota; Viridiplantae; Streptophyta; Magnoliopsida; Solanales; Solanaceae
Description: long non-coding RNA (NBEN_LNC026235)
Source: RNAcentral